CUUUGGGUGUGACUGCGUACCUUUUGUAUAAUGGGUCAGCGACUUAUAUUCUGUAGCAAGGUUAACCGAAUAGGGGAGCCGGAGGGAAACCGAGUCUUAACCGGGCGUUAAGUUGCAGGGUAUAGACCCGAAACCCGGUGAUCUAGCCAUGGGCAGGUUGAAGGUUGGGUAACACUAACUGGAGGACCGAACCGACUAAUGUUGAAAAAUUAGCGGAUGACCUGUGGCUGGGGGUGAAAGGCCAAUCAAACCGGGAGAUAGCUGGUUCUCCCCGAAAGCUAUUUAGGUAGCGCCUCGUGAAUUCAUCUCCGGGGGUAGAGCACUGUUUCGGCUAGGGGGCCAUCCCGGCUUACCAACCCGAUGCAAACUGCGAAUACCGGAGAAUGUUAUCACGGGAGACACACGGCGGGUGCUAACGUCCGUCGUGAAGAGGGAAACAACCCAGACCGCCAGCUAAGGUCCCAAAGUCAUGGUUAAGUGGGAAACGAUGUGGGAAGGCCCAGACAGCCAGGAUGUUGGCUUAGAAGCAGCCAUCAUUUAAAGAAAGCGUAAUAGCUCACUGGUCGAGUCGGCCUGCGCGGAAGAUGUAACGGGGCUAAACCAUGCACCGAAGCUGCGGCAGCGACACUGUGUGUUGUUGGGUAGGGGAGCGUUCUGUAAGCCUGUGAAGGUGUGUCGUGA
Molecule: ribosomal RNA, 681 nt
Filed under: Salmonella enterica subsp. enterica serovar Enteritidis
Lineage: Bacteria; Pseudomonadati; Pseudomonadota; Gammaproteobacteria; Enterobacterales; Enterobacteriaceae
Description: partial 23S ribosomal RNA
Rfam family: Bacterial large subunit ribosomal RNA
Source: RNAcentral